GAUGAACGUUGGCGGUGUGCCUAAUACAUGCAAGUCGAACGGAGUCAGUAGCAAUAUUGGCUAAGUGGCGAACGGGUGAGUAACGCGUUGGUGAUCUGCCUUGAAGUGUGGAAUAACGUUUCGAAAGAGACGCUAAUACCGCAUGUGCUCUCGAUUUUCAGAAAGUUGAGAGUAAAGGAUUUAUUCGCUUCAAGAGGAGCCUGCGUCCCAUCAGCUGGUUGGUAGGGUAACGGCCUACCAAGGCUAUGACGGGUAGGGGACCUGAGAGGGUGGCCCCCCACAAUGGAACUGAAACACGGUCCAUACACCUACGGGUGGCAGCAGUGAGGAAUUUUCCGCAAUGGGCGCAAGCCUGACGGAGCGACGCCGCGUGAGGGAUGACGGCCUUCGGGUUGUAAACCUCUUUUAUUAAGGAAAAAGGCAAUCGUGCUAAUACCACGGUUGUUUGAUGGUACUUAUUGAAUAAGCCCCGGCUAACUACGUG
This 484-nucleotide ribosomal RNA is filed under the name uncultured bacterium. RNAcentral's name for it is "bacterial SSU rRNA". It matches the Rfam family "Bacterial small subunit ribosomal RNA", at positions 28 to 507 of the family's 1533-position model. The record is from RNAcentral.